AACUAAGCAACUAGAAUUCCAAAGAAGGACAAGCCCCUCCAAAGACAGGAAGCAUGAGGGCAGGCUCAUCAGUGUCAGAGCAGGGGAGACCAGCACAGACACCUUACAAGCAGAAUGACCUUCUGUGGCUACAGAGAAAGGCUUCAGGCAAAGAGAUGCAGCUCUGGGCCCCAGAGUCCGCUGGAGCACACUGAAGCUGGAGCACACUGAAGUGGAAGAUGGGGCUGCAGACAGAGACUGGGCAGCCUCUGCUCCAGGGAGGCCCGAGAGCCAGAGAGCAGAUUCCAUAAGAAGAAUAACUCCCAUUCCUCAUGCAUGAGACCCUCUGCUAAAUGCUUCCUGUGCACCACCUCCAGAAAUCCUCCCAAGCCAGGACACCAGCAGUAUUACAGGUAAGAAAAUGGAGGCUCCCAGAGAUUUGACAACCUGCCCGCAGCAAUGACCAAAUCAGACUUGGUGCUAAGUCUGCACCUCCCCAAAGUCAGUGUGUUUGUAUGCUCUGCUGCCACUGCCCCCCGCUGGCCCUGCACAUGAUGUGAACCAUCAGGCAGACCUGGAGUUCUGUCUCCUGGGUGGGCUGCUUGCCAACACCAGGGUGGCUGGCCCCUGCCUGUGUCAGGUCCUGCAGUGUUGACUCUCUUCGUGUGAUGUUGGGCAGGUGGAGCUGGUUGUGCUGAGCCUGAGGAAACAUCCAAUGUGCCAAACUUUCUUGUGUGUUUCCCUCUGCUGGUUAUUUAGUAAGCCCAGGAAAAGAGCAAAUCCUGCCCCCAACAGAUGAUCCUCUCGAUGAGAGUGGUUAUGGUGAUGAUGCCAGCAUGCAGUGGGGAGAUUCGACUUUUCGAGAUUCUUCCAGCCCUUUGCUUCCCACAUUUCAUAAUGCUUGAUGGCAACAGCUCUGCUGACUGUUUGGGAAAAAGACAAUACUUAUGUCCCUUUUAGAGACACUUUACUCAGUCCCUCCCGCAAUGCUUAGUACGCAGAGAAAAUAGUAA
This 992-nucleotide long non-coding RNA is filed under the name Homo sapiens (human). RNAcentral describes it as "non-protein coding LINC01682:9". The record is from RNAcentral. Lineage: Eukaryota; Metazoa; Chordata; Mammalia; Primates; Hominidae.